CGGUACAUCGGUGACAGGUGGUGCAUGGUUGUCGUCAGCUCGUGUCGUGAGAUGUUGGGUUAAGUCCCGCAACGAGCGCAACCCCUAUUGUUAGUUGCCAUCAUUCAGUUGGGCACUCUAGCGAGACUGCCGGUAAUAAACCGGAGGAAGGUGGGGAUGACGUCAAAUCAUCAUGCCCCUUAUGACCUGGGCUACACACGUGCUACAAUGGUUGGUACAACGAGUUGCGAGUCGGUGACGGCGAGCUAAUCUCUUAAAGCCAAUCUCAGUUCGGAUCGCAGUCUGCGACUCGACUGCGUGAAGUCGGAAUCGCUAGUAAUCGUGAAUCAGAAUGUCACGGUGAAUACGUUCCCGGGCCUU
Molecule: ribosomal RNA, 360 nt
Filed under: uncultured Streptococcus sp.
Lineage: Bacteria; Bacillati; Bacillota; Bacilli; Lactobacillales; Streptococcaceae
Description: bacterial SSU rRNA
Rfam family: Bacterial small subunit ribosomal RNA
Source: RNAcentral